RNAcentral lists this ribosomal RNA (404 nucleotides) under Actinomycetes bacterium. Its description in RNAcentral is "Actinobacteria bacterium partial 16S ribosomal RNA". It matches the Rfam family "Bacterial small subunit ribosomal RNA", at positions 355 to 776 of the family's 1533-position model. Lineage: Bacteria; Bacillati; Actinomycetota; Actinomycetes. The record is from RNAcentral.
UGGGGAAUAUUGGACAAUGGGCGCAAGCCUGAUCCAGCCAUGCCGCGUGAGUGAUGAAGGCCCUAGGGUUGUAAAGCUCUUUCACCGGUGAAGAUAAUGACGGUAACCGGAGAAGAAGCCCCGGCUAACUUCGUGCCAGCAGCCGCGGUAAUACGAAGGGGGCUAGCGUUGUUCGGAUUUACUGGCCGUAAAGCGCACGUAGGCGGACUAUUAAGUCAGGGGUGAAAUCCCGGGGCUCAACCCCGGAACUGCCUUUGAUACUGGUAGUCUUGAGUUCGAGAGAGGUGAGUGGAAUUCCGAGUGUAGGGGUGAAAUUCGUAGAUAUUCGGAGGAACACCAGUGGCGAAGGCGGCUCACUGGCUCGAUACUGACGCUGAGGUGCGAAAGCGUGGGGAGCAAACAGG